CCUACGGGAGGCAGCAGUGAGGAAUAUUGGUCAAUGGACGAAAGUCUGAACCAGCCAAGUAGCGUGAAGGAUGACUGCCCUAUGGGUUGUAAACUUCUUUUAUAAGGGAAUAAAACGAGGCACGUGUGCCUUUUUGUAUGUACUUCAUGAAUAAGGAUCGGCUAACUCCGUGCCAGCAGCCGCGGUAAUACGGAGGAUCCGAGCGUUAUCCGGAUUUAUUGGGUUUAAAGGGAGCGUAGGUGGGUUGUUAAGUCAGUUGUGAAAGUCUGCGGCUCAACCGUAGAAUUGCAAGUGAUACUGGCAGUCUUGAGUGCAGGUGAGGUAAGCGGAAUUCGUGGUGUAGCGGUGAAAUGCUUAGAUAUCACGAAGAACCCCGAUUGCGAAGGCAGCUUACUGAACUGUUACUGACACUGAUGCUCGAAAGUGUGGGUAUCGAACAGGAUUAGAUACCCGUGUAGUC
This 460-nucleotide ribosomal RNA is filed under the name uncultured bacterium. RNAcentral describes it as "partial 16S ribosomal RNA". It matches the Rfam family "Bacterial small subunit ribosomal RNA", at positions 338 to 795 of the family's 1533-position model. The record is from RNAcentral.